Long non-coding RNA from Oxyura jamaicensis (ruddy duck), 5418 nucleotides. RefSeq lists it as uncharacterized. Lineage: Eukaryota; Metazoa; Chordata; Aves; Anseriformes; Anatidae. The record is from RefSeq and is a predicted model, not a curated record. The transcript has 3 exons.
GGGGGGGAAAAAAAAAAAAAAAAAGCGUGCGGAGGAAAUGGUGGGAGCGGGGCUGCGGCAGGCGGCGGGGUGCCCUCGGAGCGGCGCGGCUGGGCUCGGCGCGGCCGGGCGGACAGCUCCCACCAUGGACGCCUAGCUGUGUCAUGAUGGGGGAAACGCAGAGAGUUUCAGUUGUGGUUUUCCAAGUAGGUCAAGAGGAGCAGCGUGGACACCUCCGACGAGCAAUUCUCUUCCCUCGCCUUGUAUUUUAGACGAGGUUAACUCAUGUCAGACACGUGGCACUGCAAGCAGCAGACAGACAAGUGUAAGCCACUCUGCAGCAGAUGUCAUCUCUGCUCCUAAAGAUAGUGGCAAAUUUGCUGUGGAUAAUGCAUUACUAAACAAGAUAAGGCUGGAGCUCGGCGAGUGUCAAAUCUUGCCUCCUCCCAAGCUCGGGAAAGCGAGUGAAUUUGUAUCAGGGGCUGCAGGGGCAGCGGUGCGGUGUACAAGCAGCCUACUGUACUGUCUCACUUAGAGGUCAUGUGCCCUAUUUUGAGAACUGAACCAAAGCGGAUGAAGUUUUGAGUCGCUUCCAACUAAGGCAGCUGGGCAUUUCCCACUGUGCUCCAGCUCCAGCCUCAGAAAGCAGGCAAGUACAUGGGCAAAUAUCUAAGUCCUUUAACUGGUAUUACGCACCGGAGAUUUACGUUUUAUGCCAUUUGCUCCACGUGCUUUUGAUUACUAUAGCUGACUAGGAGUUAACAUUUUGGGAAGACCGCUGCUAACUUGGGGAAAUGCUGGGUGUGAGAGGACAGGGGUUACUUUCCCUGUUCAACAGGUGUGAGUUUUCUGAGAGAGGACCCUACAGCCUCCUCCAACCCACCAGUCAAUGGCAUCCCACCUUCUUGAGCAAAAGUCUUGAGAAUGCUUUACAAGCCCUGGAAAAAUGCAAAGGACAGCUUCCAUCAUGAUACUCGUCCUGCAGAUGAGCUUCACUUUUCAAGUCCUGAGCAUUGCUCUUUUCAGUAAGAGGAAUGUAUAAAAAUAAUGAAAGGAAGCACAGGAAUAUUUAAGGAACUGAGAUACUGAGCUGGACUGCAGCAUUUACACUAAUUUUAUGUAAUCGUGACAAUAGUGAUUGUAACAUGAUUUAUAUCGUUAGGACAGAAAGGAUUAGGCUUUUUUUUUUUUUUCUGGGAGUCAUCAAAAAUGAAUAAAUGAACUAGUCAUUUUUAUGUCAAAGCCUAUAUUGAAGGGUGCCUAGUUCCAAGCAGGUGCUUCCUUGUAAACCCAGUGUGGAGAGUCCCGGGUACUGUCGCUCCUUGUUGAUCAUCAGUGGGCGUAGAUGCAGUAGAUGUAAAGGUCUAUGACUCACUGAGCUUUCUGAGGUGAAACCAGAAAGGAGUAGAUAAUUGCACCAUUAUGAAAAGAAUUAUCACAGUUUGAUUACAGAAGAAAAUCCUCUAAUGGUGCCAUGCCUCUUGGGAACUUGAAUAGGCAAUGGGACCAAAAGUGAGGAGUUUAUGUCAAGGAAUGGCAAAGUGUCCCCUUUAACUGAUCCAUUUUAAUCAAAUGUGUCAGAAAGAUGAUUUGCAGGACUGAAGAUGCAGUGGGUCAAAAUAGCCCAAGGCAAUUUGCCAUGCCAAUUCUGAUUAAAAUAAAGAAGAAGACAGAUCUGAGAGAGAAAGUGACACAGGCAAGACAUUUCUGAAUCCACAAAUUACUGGAAUACUUCCUAAAAGAUAUUAUGUGACCUCCUGUCUUCUUACAUAUGAAAAAGAUACUGAGUUCAAAAUUACCCCAUCUAGUUUGAUAAUCUGUAAAAUGAAAAUUGAGAAGGAGGGCUUACAGGUAAUUCAGGUAUUGAUUGAUAUGAGAACUUAAGUACUUAGAGCGGUAUGGAGAAGGCAUUUCCUUUUAAGGGAUACUAAAAAUUCAUUUGGUGUUAAAUAACCCAGAAAACAUGUAUAUAAAAUGUAGUAAGUAUUUGGGUAAUUGAGAAUUAAAAGCAGCUGUGGUAUAAAACAAUGGCCAUCUAUGACGUUUAUAAAGUGCAUGAAACUUGGCAGGAUGGGUUUCAUGCCAGUAAUGACAUUAUAAGGUGACUACAAUAUAGGCUGUAGAGGUAAAAUGGAGAAGGCAAUGGAUGCAGCAAUGGAGAACAAUGGUAUCUCCUCGUUGACAGCAGUAAGGUGCAGAGGGACACUCAUCCACCCAUCUCAGCUGUAUCAGACUUGAAUUACGCAAAUGAAAGCAUGUCAUUUUCUCUUUCCAUUUCAGUCUUCAUGGAGGAUUUAGUGAUGCUAUCUACUGAGUAAGGUGGGCAGCAGUACUUGGGGAGGCACUGCAAGUCUUUGGGAAAUGGACCAAUGAAAUAGGGGACAUGGAGCACUCCCUCAGGAGAGAGAAACUGUUUUUUUUUUUUUUUUUUUUUAAAUAGAGUUUGGUAUGGGGGGACCCAGCAUCCCGGCCGGGAGAGCAGGGCGAUGUCUGUGGUCUCCAGCUGGCUCCUCUCCCUGUGAGGCCUCUUCAUCUGCAGCAGGUAGAGAGUCAAUGGUGAGACACAGUUCUAGGGAGGCAGAGGGCUGAGAACAGUAGUAGUGUCUAAGUAGGAUAGAAAUGGAACUGGAGAAAAAAGGCAGCAGAAAUGCAUUUCAUUUGAAGCAUCUCCUUCAAUUUCCCCUUAGCUAGUUUGGGUUCUUGAAUUCAGAGGUAUGGUUUGGUGGGCAGAGACUGUUAGAACUCUUUGAAUUUUGCCUUAGAAAUUGUUACGGGGGGCAAUCAUUCACAACUCUGAUACUGAAAUAUAUUUCAAUGAAGUUGGGAAAGGGCUGGCAAAGAUGGAUUGAUCCCCAUAUGGAAAGGUGGUGUGAUAUGGUACACAUGAAGAGAGAGGAAGGUGUUUCUUGUCAGGUGUCUUCAUAGCCAGGAUUGAGGCCCUCCCAAAUUAUGUCCCAGUGACCUUGUUAAGAAAUAAGACAUAACACUCUUGUUGUGGACCAUUCAAGAGAGCUGUUCAGAGAAACCUUUGUUUGAAGUGACAGAUAAAACAGUCUGUCAAAACCAGAUAAAUGUAUCUCCUCCAUCCUCCUUUUCCUCUGCUUCCCCAGCUCCCUGCACCUCUGUGAAAUCUAAAAGGAAGAGGGAGGCUGCAGACACACAUGUUACAAAUCUUAUCCAAAGAUCAUCUGUAAAUGACAGUGUAUGCCUUCAAGUGUGUUCAGUGGUUAUUCCUUGUUCGAUGCAGCAGUGGCCACAUAAUUAUGUUGCUUCAGGGCUUGCUAGAAUGUAAUAUUAAAUCUGAUUCCAGUUAUUGCUGUGCAUCCCUGCUAUUUUUACUUGUUGGAUUUAAAGUUAAUAAUACUUUGACAUUAUCCUUGGUUCAGGUGAAUGGAUAUCUUCUUUUCAGAGACAACAGGUUUUCCAUGAGAGAAAAAACAGGAGAUUUGUCCCAUAGCUAAUGCCUAUAUAUUGAAAUGAGCACUGUUCAAAGUGUUGCACAUCACAGGAAAAAGCUUAAUAUCACAAAGGCAUCGAUAAAUCAAUCAAAGACACACUGGAAGUUACUGUACAGCAACAGUUCAGGGUCACAGAACACCUCAGUUUGUGCACAGAUCCCAUUGGGGUGCCUCAUGCUGUCAGGACUGUAGACACAUCUGGAAACAAGAAGCUUCAUUUUAUUAGGAUGGUAAUGAAAUGAAGGAACACUCUGCAAGUGUGAAACUGAGCAGGCUGACAGGCUUUUGGUUGGACUUGAAGUUUUAACAAAGCAUUAGGUAAAUCCCACAGCUCUGAUGAUUUUGGGGUGCAUUAUGAGGACAGGCAGUGACCCAUAAAAAUGUGUGGCCCAGAGAACUGGAAUAUACCACUUUUGUGACUUUUCCCCUCAACAUCGGUGUUAGUCCAUUGACACCAUAAUUUCCAUGUGUGAUGGGUAGUGGUAUGGAUAGUGGCAUUGUUGGUACCCAGCUGUGAUUUGGGAUGAUGUACUUUGGGGUCUCUCACUGUUUACCUGCAGAGACCAACAAGUGAUUUUGUGAUCAGUGACAUGACAGCUAAGCCCUGUCAUCUAGAGAAAUGCAGCCAAAAGCCACGGCCUCAGGAGGAGAGCUACCACAGGCUUAGCUUCUCACUAAACACCAAGUGAUUAGGCAGCAUCUCUGGCAUGGUGUGCAUGAGCUUCACUCACCCUUCAGGUUGCCAGCAGCUCUGGGCCUUUUGUUGCAGAUGGGCAGGAUUUCCUGCCUGGUGCAGGGGAUUUCUGCUGAGGAAACUCUCAGGCAGACGAUGUGCAUGCAUCUUCUUUGGAAAUGUCCCCUGAUGUGAGCUUCUCAAGUCUGAACAGCCACAGAGAUUACUCUGUCCCAGUGCUUGGCAGGCUUUCCUUGUGGUUUUCUGCUUUGUCUUUAACAACACGGUCAACUGAAGCUGCAUGGCCCUUGCAAGCCGUGUGUAAAUAUAUAUUCUUUGUGCACAGCUGGAUUAUAGCCACUGUAAAAGCAAGUAAAACAAGUUGGAGUACAUACAUCACAGAUAUGUGUAUUAACUUAUUUUACAGGUAUGUUAACUCAGGAGGUACCAUACUUUUGGUCCCUCACCUAGUUUCUGGAGAUAGGUUAGCUGCCCUGCACUGCUCGUUAUCAUGCAGUGCACACAUGCAAAGUUUGUUAUCUUCCUUGUAAAGAUAGUCUGUAAAGACCAAGAAGAGAAGAAAAAUUGGGCAAACUUCUGUCAGUUGCAGCGUAAGGGAGGAAACAUUUUUAAGCCAACUGGUAAUAUAGAUGGAAGAGCUAACCUGAGGCUGGGUAAUGCAUGCUGUUUCUAAAAUCAAGACAAAGUUCCCCAAAAUAAGCCAAACAAGCACGUAGAAAUCAUCUGGGUUUUCCCACAGCUUUGAGACUUGAAACUGAUGUAGGUGAAUAGGGGAAAUAAGUUGGCCGAGGAGAUAAAUAGCGACUUGGUAAGAGCUUCAGAUUGCAAGAAAGAGGCAUCUCACAAAAUUCAAAACCCAAUAUCCUGAAGAUAUAUAUUGACUGAAAGACACUAAUUUUUUAGGGUUGUAUGGCUGAUCAGCAAGCACACAACCACACAUACAUAGCCAAGCAGAAGAUAAACAUCCAAACUUGGCUAGAUGCUUACUUCACUCUCUCUAUAUAUGUACAAUUUCUUGAUAAGUUUAUGUAAUACUGUGAACCCAUAGAAAUAAAUAUGGGGACAGAACAGACAGCGAGAUUAACAACAACAACAAAAAAUUACUUUGGGUCCAGUAUUACAUCAGGUGUGGUAGUACUUUGGUAUAUUGUAGGAUAGAUUAAUAGUAUAAAAAUAUUAUGUGGAUUAUUAAUAAAUUUUACUGUUCUGCUACUGACUUUAGCUUUUAUUUUGUUGAACAUCAUUCCAUGUUUUAUAAAGGCUUAGUAAAUCUGUAUGUAUACAAUA